AUACGUAGGGUGCGAGCGUUAAUCGGAAUCACUGGGCGUAAAGCGCACGUAGGCGGUUUGUUAAGUCGGAUGUGAAAUCCCCGGGCUCAACCUGGGACCUGCAUUCGAUACUGGCAGACUUGAAUACGGUAGAGGGGGGUAGAAUUCCAGGUGUAGCGGUGAAAUGCGUAGAGAUCGGGAGGAACAUCAGUGGCGAAGGCGGCCACCUGGGACAACACUGACGCUGAGGCACGAAAGCGUGGGGAGC
RNAcentral lists this ribosomal RNA (247 nucleotides) under uncultured bacterium. RNAcentral's name for it is "partial 16S ribosomal RNA". It matches the Rfam family "Bacterial small subunit ribosomal RNA", at positions 523 to 769 of the family's 1533-position model. The record is from RNAcentral.